UACAGAGGUCUCAAGCGUUGUUCGGAUUCAUUGGGCGUAAAGGGUGCGUAGGCGGCGCGGUAAGUCGGGUGUGAAAUCUCGGAGCUUAACUCCGAAACUGCAUUCGAUACUGCCGUGCUUGAGGACUGGAGAGGAGACUGGAAUUUACGGUGUAGCGGUGAAAUGCGUAGAUAUCGUAAGGAACACCGGUGGCGAAGGCGGGUCUCUGGGCAGUAACUGACACUGAGGAGCGAAAGCGUGGGGAGCGAACAGG
Molecule: ribosomal RNA, 253 nt
Filed under: uncultured bacterium
Lineage: Bacteria
Description: partial 16S ribosomal RNA
Rfam family: Bacterial small subunit ribosomal RNA
Source: RNAcentral